UCUCUGGCCCCAUACUUCUUUGCAUCGCCAUACAGAUCUGAAGAUAUGGAAUGUAAAGAAGUAUGUAGCCUGUAG
This is a non-coding RNA of Trichinella spiralis, 75 nucleotides long. The record is from Rfam. NCBI's taxonomy places the organism in Eukaryota, Metazoa, Nematoda, Enoplea, Trichinellida, Trichinellidae.